This 747-nucleotide ribosomal RNA is filed under the name uncultured bacterium. Its description in RNAcentral is "bacterial SSU rRNA". It matches the Rfam family "Bacterial small subunit ribosomal RNA", at positions 33 to 773 of the family's 1533-position model. The record is from RNAcentral.
ACGCUGGCGGCAGGCCUAACACAUGCAAGUCGAGCGGCAGCACGGGUACUUGUACCUGGUGGCGAGCGGCGGACGGGUGAGUAAUGCCUAGGAAUCUGCCUGGUAGUGGGGGAUAACGUUCGGAAACGGACGCUAAUACCGCAUACGUCCUACGGGAGAAAGCAGGGGACCUUCGGGCCUUGCGCUAUCAGAUGAGCCUAGGUCGGAUUAGCUAGUUGGUGAGGUAAUGGCUCACCAAGGCUACGAUCCGUAACUGGUCUGAGAGGAUGAUCAGUCACACUGGAACUGAGACACGGUCCAGACUCCUACGGGAGGCAGCAGUGGGGAAUAUUGGACAAUGGGCGAAAGCCUGAUCCAGCCAUGCCGCGUGUGUGAAGAAGGUCUUCGGACUGUAAAGCACUUUAAGUUGGGAGGAAGGGCAGUUACCUAAUACGUGAUUGUUUUGACGUUACCGACAGAAUAAGCAUCGGCUAACUCUGUGCCAGCAGCCGCGGUAAUACAGAGGGUGCAAGCGUUAAUCGGAAUUACUGGGCGUAAAGCGCGCGUAGGUGGUUUGUUAAGUUGGAUGUGAAAUCCCCGGGCUCAACCUGGGAACUGCAUUCAAAACUGACCGACUAGAGUAUGGUAGAGGGUGGUGGAAUUUCCUGUGUAGCGGUGAAAUGCGUAGAUAUAGGAAGGAACACCAGUGGCGAAGGCGACCACCUGGACUAAUACUGACACUGAGGUGCGAAAGCGUGGGGAGCAAAC